AAUAAACCUAGUCGUUCGCGUACACAGGGGCAACCCUCGCGCGAUGUCAGCAAUACCUAGGUCACCCUUGAAUAAACUACCCUUGUUGCUUUGGCGGGCCGCCCCUCGGGGCCAGCGGCUUCGGCUGCUGCGCGCCCGCCAGAGGACCACAACUCUUGUUUUUAGUGAUGUCUGAGUACUAUAUAAUAGUUAAAACUUUCAACAACGGAUCUCUUGGUUCUGGCAUCGAUGAAGAACGCAGCGAAAUGCGAUAAGUAAUGUGAAUUGCAGAAUUCAGUGAAUCAUCGAAUCUUUGAACGCACAUUGCGCCCUUUGGUAUUCCGAAGGGCAUGCCUGUUCGAGCGUCAUUAUAACCACUCAAGCCUUCGCUUGGUAUUGGGGUUCGCGGCUGCGCGGCCCCUAAAAUCAGUGGCGGUGCCUGUCGGCUCUACGCGUAGUAAUACUCCUCGCGUCUGGGUUCCGGUAGGUUGCUUGCCAGCAACCCCUAAAUUUUUUACAGGUUGACCUCGGAUCAGGUAGGGAUACCCGCUGAACUUAAGCAUAUCAAUAAGCGGAGGAAAAGAAACCAACAGGGAUUACCUCA
This 583-nucleotide ribosomal RNA is filed under the name Cadophora fastigiata. RNAcentral describes it as "eukaryotic LSU rRNA". The stretch from base 194 to 347 matches the Rfam family "5.8S ribosomal RNA". Lineage: Eukaryota; Fungi; Ascomycota; Leotiomycetes; Helotiales; Ploettnerulaceae. The record is from RNAcentral.